This is a non-coding RNA of Biomphalaria pfeifferi, 251 nucleotides long. NCBI's taxonomy places the organism in Eukaryota, Metazoa, Mollusca, Gastropoda, Planorbidae. The record is from the annotation of a GenBank genome assembly.
ACUUUAGAAUUUUAGAUGAUUAGGGUUAGAGAUCUAGAUAAUAUUUAGUCUUGACAUCAUCUAUCAAAGAAUUUGAAGCAUGAAAGUUUUAAUCAUUAUGAAAAUGGAAUUGUUGACAUUUCCUAUUUUAAUCUGUUCUCUUUUUGUUUAUGUUGACCUGUAGGCUAUGGUUUGUCUACGACCAAGAUACGACAAAAAGAAAAGAAAGUGCAAAUUAAAGAAUUUAUUUGACUGAAAAAAAUAGAUUUAAU